GGAUGAACGCUGGCGGCGUGCUUGAUACAUGCAAGUCGAACGGAGAGUGUAGCAAUAUACUUUUAGUGGCGAACGGGUGAGUAACGCGUUGGUGACCUGCCCCGAAGCGAGGGAUAACAGUUCGAAAGAACUGCUAAUACCUCAUGUGAUCACCGGUUUUAGAAUCUGGUGAUUAAAGGUGAAAAUCACUUCGGGAGGGGCCUGCGUCCCAUCAGCUAGUUGGUAAGGUAAUGGCUUACCAAGGCGAUGACGGGUAGGGGACCUGAGAGGGUGGCCCCCCACAUUGGAACUGAGACACGGUCCAAACUCCUACGGGAGGCAGCAGUGGGGAAUAUUGGGCAAUGGGGGAAACCCUGACCCAGCAACGCCGCGUGAGGGAAGAAGGUUUUCGGAUUGUAAACCUCUGUUCUUGGGGAAGAGUGGAAGACGGUACCCAAGGAGGAAGCCCCGGCUAACUACGUGCCAGCAGCCGCGGUAAUACGUAGGGGGCGAGCGUUGUCCGGAAUGAUUGGGCGUAAAGGGCGCGUAGGCGGCCUAUCAAGUCAGUAGUGGAAGUCCAAUUUUCAAGAUUGGAAGUGCUAUUGAAACUGAAUGGCUUGAGUGCAGGAGAGGUUAUCGGAAUUCCCGGUGUAGCGGUGAAAUGCGUAGAGAUCGGGAGGAACACCAGUGGCGAAGGCGGGUAACUGGACUGCAACUGACGCUGAUGCGCGAAAGUGUGGGGAGCAAACAGGAUUAGAUACCCUGGUAGUCCACACUGUAAAUGAUGAAUGCUAGGUGUAGGGGGUAUCGACCCCUUCUGUGCCGCAGUUAACACAGUAAGCAUUCCGCCUGGGGAGUACGGUCGCAAGAUUAAAACUCAAAGGAAUUGACGGGGGCCCGCACAAGCAGCGGAGCAUGUGGUUUAAUUCGAAGCAACGCGAAGAACCUUACCAGGUCUUGACAUCCAGGUAAAGCUGCAGAGAUGCAGUGUGUGCUUGCACAAUCUGAGACAGGUGGUGCAUGGUUGUCGUCAGCUCGUGUCGUGAGAUGUUGGGUUAAGUCCCGCAACGAGCGCAACCCUUGCCGAUAGUUACUAACGGGUAGAGCCGAGGACUUUAUUGGGACCGCCGGGGACAACUCGGAGGAAGGUGGGGACGACGUCAAAUCAUCAUGCCCCUUAUGACCUGGGCUACACACGUGCUACAAUGGCCGAGACAGAGAGAAGCGAAGGCGCGAGCUGGAGCGAAUCUCAAAAAUGCGGUCACAGUUCGGAUUGUGGGCUGCAACCCGCCCGCAUGAAGCAGGAGUUGCUAGUAAUCGCGAAUCAGCAUGUCGCGGUGAAUACGUUCCCGGGCCU
Molecule: ribosomal RNA, 1336 nt
Filed under: uncultured bacterium
Lineage: Bacteria
Description: bacterial SSU rRNA
Rfam family: Bacterial small subunit ribosomal RNA
Source: RNAcentral